GUCAGGAUGGCCGAGUGGUCUAAGGCGCCAGACUCAAGGCUCUAUCUUCCCCUCAACUGGGUGUUCUGGUCUCCGUAUAGAGGCGUGGGUUCAAAUCCCACUCCUGACA
RNAcentral lists this transfer RNA (109 nucleotides) under Chelydra serpentina (North American snapping turtle). Its description in RNAcentral is "tRNA-Leu". It matches the Rfam family "tRNA". From Rfam's summary of the family: Transfer RNA (tRNA) molecules are approximately 80 nucleotides in length. Lineage: Eukaryota; Metazoa; Chordata; Testudines; Chelydridae. The record is from RNAcentral.